Molecule: small RNA, 835 nt
Filed under: Pongo abelii (Sumatran orangutan)
Lineage: Eukaryota; Metazoa; Chordata; Mammalia; Primates; Hominidae
Description: processed transcript
Source: RNAcentral
GCUCAGCGAUAUGAGGCAGCAUCGACAAUUUAUGGACCGCACACAUUAUCUGCUUAUAUUCAGCUCUUCAGAAACCUUGCUAAAGCUAUUGCUACGGGAGAAGUUGCUGAAGUUAUAUUUGUAGGUGCUAACCCGAAGAAUUCAGUACAAAACCAGACCCACCAGACCUUCCUCACUGUGGAGAAAUAUGAGGCUACUUCAACGUCGUGGCAGAUAGUGUGUAAUGAUGCCUCCUGGGAGACUCGGAAGUCCCCAUGGGCUGCAGGGGACAGGAAGAUCCUGAUCUGUGACAAAUCGACUGGAUGGAAUUUUCAGGCUGAAGAGAGGUUGAACCCACAAAAUCUUGGACAGUCUUUCAUGAGCUCAGGCCUACAAUCAUGCCCCACACAGUGAGCCAUGGUGAAUGCAUUUUGAAAAGCAACCUCCUCCCUUCCCUUUUCCUCUUUGUGACUUUGUGUAUCACAAAAGCAGCUGUGAGCCAGAGAAGGGGCUCGGAUAAUGGCUCUGUUGCUGAGGUGUCCUUUGGUGGCUGGGAAAUGAAGACUGGGAAUUGCUGCAUAGGCCUGGGGGGCAUAGAAGACAGGAGCUCCAAGGGUGACUUCAAUGGGGGAACCAUCCAGCACCUGUUGUAGAGAGCAAAGAAAAAUCAACAUGAGAUGAUAUGAAGAUAACCAAGUGUGGCUGAGCCCUAAUAACAUGACUCCUUCUAAGUGUUAGACUAUUUGCUGUAGGUUUAUUGAUUGUACCUUGUCAUUUUAUAGGUUUGUUUUGUAUGCCAGCUGAACUUUUUCUGAGCCAUUUUGUUGGUAAGUUGCAUAAGAUGCCAACAGGUUUG